This 780-nucleotide ribosomal RNA is filed under the name Kocuria flava. RNAcentral describes it as "bacterial SSU rRNA". It matches the Rfam family "Bacterial small subunit ribosomal RNA", at positions 474 to 1252 of the family's 1533-position model. Lineage: Bacteria; Bacillati; Actinomycetota; Actinomycetes; Micrococcales; Micrococcaceae. The record is from RNAcentral.
GGUACCUGCAGAAGAAGCGCCGGCUAACUACGUGCCAGCAGCCGCGGUAAUACGUAGGGCGCAAGCGUUGUCCGGAAUUAUUGGGCGUAAAGAGCUCGUAGGCGGUUUGUCGCGUCUGCUGUGAAAGCCCGGGGCUCAACCCCGGGUCUGCAGUGGGUACGGGCAGACUAGAGUGCAGUAGGGGAGACUGGAAUUCCUGGUGUAGCGGUGAAAUGCGCAGAUAUCAGGAGGAACACCGAUGGCGAAGGCAGGUCUCUGGGCUGUUACUGACGCUGAGGAGCGAAAGCAUGGGGAGCGAACAGGAUUAGAUACCCUGGUAGUCCAUGCCGUAAACGUUGGGCACUAGGUGUGGGGGACAUUCCACGUUCUCCGCGCCGUAGCUAACGCAUUAAGUGCCCCGCCUGGGGAGUACGGCCGCAAGGCUAAAACUCAAAGGAAUUGACGGGGGCCCGCACAAGCGGCGGAGCAUGCGGAUUAAUUCGAUGCAACGCGAAGAACCUUACCAAGGCUUGACAUCCACCGGACCGCACUGGAGACAGUGCUUCCCUUCGGGGCUGGUGGACAGGUGGUGCAUGGUUGUCGUCAGCUCGUGUCGUGAGAUGUUGGGUUAAGUCCCGCAACGAGCGCAACCCUCGUUCUAUGUUGCCAGCACGUGAUGGUGGGGACUCAUAGGAGACUGCCGGGGUCAACUCGGAGGAAGGUGGGGAUGACGUCAAAUCAUCAUGCCCCUUAUGUCUUGGGCUUCACGCAUGCUACAAUGGCCGGUACAAAGGGUUGCGA